Molecule: ribosomal RNA, 797 nt
Filed under: Wolbachia endosymbiont of Porcellio laevis
Lineage: Bacteria; Pseudomonadati; Pseudomonadota; Alphaproteobacteria; Rickettsiales; Anaplasmataceae
Description: bacterial SSU rRNA
Rfam family: Bacterial small subunit ribosomal RNA
Source: RNAcentral
UCUACCUAGUAGUACGGAAUAAUUGUUGGAAACGGCAACUAAUACCGUAUACGCCCCACGGGGGAAAAAUUUAUUGCUAUUAGAUGAGCCUAUAUUAGAUUAGCUUGUUGGUAGGGUAAUAGCUUACCAAGGCAAUGAUCUAUAGCUGAUCUGAGAGGAUGAUCAGCCACACUGGAACUGAGAUACGGUCCAGACUCCUACGGGAGGCAGCAGUGGGGAAUAUUGGACAAUGGGCGAAAGCCUGAUCCAGCUAUGCCGCAUGAGUGAAGAAGGCCUUUGGGUUGUAAAGCUCUUUUAGUGAGGAAGAUAAUGACGGUACUCACAGAAGAAGUCCUGGCUAACUCCGUGCCAGCAGCCGCGGUAAUACGGAGAGGGCUAGCGUUAUUCGGAAUUAUUGGGCGUAAAGGGCGCGUAGGCUGACUAAUAAGUUAAAAGUGAAAUCCCGAGGCUUAACCUUGGAAUUGCUUUUAAAACUGUUAAUCUAGAGAUUGAAAGAGGAUAGAGGAAUUCCUAGUGUAGAGGUAAAAUUCGUAAAUAUUAGGAGGAACACCAGUGGCGAAGGCGUCUAUCUGGUUCAAAUCUGACGCUGAGGCGCGAAGGCGUGGGGAGCAAACAGGAUUAGAUACCCUGGUAGUCCACGCUGUAAACGAUGAAUGUUAAAUAUGGGAAAUUUAUUUUCUGUAUUACAGCUAACGCGUUAAACAUUCCGCCUGGGGACUACGGUCGCAAGAUUAAAACUCAAAGGAAUUGACGGGGACCCGCACAAGCGGUGGAGCAUGUGGUUUAAUUCGAUGCAA